AAAGAGGGUACAUUUUGCAUUGCCUUUGGCGAGAGCUGCAGUUUGUGUGAAUAGUGAUGCAAAAUUGGAUAACUUUCUACUUGACAAUUAUGGAAAGGGCCCAUCAACUUUUACCCCAUUUGAAACUAAAGUCUGUGUUCAUUGUUCCAGCAUCAACAGUUGGAAGUUACACUGUUUCAAACAGCCUCAUACCUCACUGCAAAGCUUGUCUGCAACUAGAUAGACUCCAUUUGUGGUAACAAAGAGAGCCUCCUGAUAUCCCUGUUCGAGGGCCACUGCAAUGCUUGCCUCUUCAAACUCCCGGGUGAGCUGAGCUAUCACAGGGGAGGUAGUAGCCCAGCUCAAUGCUGCCAUCUCAAUGGCCAUUCAGGCCAACUCUGGUAGAAGCCCCCCAGUCUAGCCUCCAUGCAGGUCCUUCCAGAGCUUCAGAGCCAAAUAUCUGAGCCAGAUUUGGUUUAUUGAGCUGCAACUGACAAUGUGAUGGAUGCCAUUGUCAGCACAACAGAGAAAAUGAAACUGAACUAUAACAAUCCGGUUUGAUUUGGCCAAAACCUUGAAGACCUUGAACAAGUCUCAAUGUGCAAUCAAUUUUCAACGUGACCUUGACGUUGAGUCCACAUCUGGGACAGAAGGGACCAGUCAUUUGCGUAAGGAGAGGGGCGGCCAGAAAGAUUCAGACACUUUCAGAGAAAAUCAGCAGUGGUUCUGGGGUUGCUCCUUUGUUUUGUCGUUCAAGUGCCACUCCCAGCCUGACUGAUGCCUCCCCUGAAUACAAGAUGAACAGCCCCAGCAUCUGUAACCUCCUCUGUCACAGGGAUCAUCAAGAUACACGUCUGAAGGCACGUGUGAUGAAUACGACCAGCCAGUUCCUCUGUAUGACCACAAGACAGGGUCUUUAGAGUAGAGAGACUUGUUUACACCCCACACAAUCGACGGCCAUAUAAAAUAGAGCUAACGGACUACUGACUCCUGUUGUCAUCUAUUCAAGAUGACGGUACAGCUAACAACGCUUCUCCUCCGGGGUUUUCAGACACCAUGAAGGUGUUAUUUACUGAGCACCAAAGUUAUUACAAUUCCCAGUACUGGAGAGUAAAAUGUUGGUUGUCAUCGUCCGACUUCAAACCCGUUACACUGCAUUACAAGAAUGUUUUAAUGGCAAAUUGGAUAAAUGCAAGUAAUGCUUCAAGAGUUUCAAGUGUUUUGUGUGAUUGGUUGCUGUGACGCAGAUUUCCUUACACUGCUUACUUCCUGAUCAGAUGGUGGAAGCUCUAGUUCACAUAUGGUCACAUUCUGGUUACACAUUUUGUAAGGCUGUUGUUGAUCUGGCAGGACUCCGUCCACAGCCUGACUCUGAUGUAAUA
Molecule: long non-coding RNA, 1361 nt
Organism: Esox lucius (northern pike)
Lineage: Eukaryota; Metazoa; Chordata; Actinopteri; Esociformes; Esocidae
Exons: 3
Source: RefSeq, a predicted model, not a curated record